CACGCUGGCGGCGUGCCUCAGACAUGCAAGUCGAACGCGAAAGUUUCCUUCGGGGAACAAGUAGAGUGGCGCACGGGUGAGUAACACGUAGGUAAUCUACCUUUGGAUGGGGAAUAACAACCGGAAACGGUUGCUAAUACCGCAUAAUGCAGCGGCACCUAAUGGUGACAGUUGUUAAAGCGGGGGAUCGAAAGACCUCGCGUCUGAAGAGGAGCCUGCGGCGGAUUAGCUAGUUGGUAAGGUAAUGGCUUACCAAGGCAAUGAUCCGUAACCGGCCUGAGAGGGCGGUCGGUCACACUGACACUGAAAUACGGGUCAGACUCCUACGGGAGGCAGCAGUCGGGAAUUUUGGGCAAUGGGCGAAAGCCUGACCCAGCAACGCCGCGUGAAGGAUGAAAUCCCUCGGGAUGUAAACUUCGCAAGAACAGGAAGAAUAAGUAAGGGUUAAUAUCUCUUACGAUGACGGUACUGUUUGUAAGCUCCGGCUAACUCCGUGCCAGCAGCCGCGGUAAUACGGGGGGAGCAAGCGUUGUUCGGAUUUACUGGGCGUAAGGGGCGCGUAGGCGGCCACCGCAAGUCAAUUGUGAAAUCUCCGGGCUUAACCCGGAAAGGUCAACUGAUACUGCGGGGCUAGAGUGCAGAAGGGGCAAC
RNAcentral lists this ribosomal RNA (651 nucleotides) under uncultured Acidobacteriota bacterium. RNAcentral's name for it is "bacterial SSU rRNA". It matches the Rfam family "Bacterial small subunit ribosomal RNA", at positions 32 to 661 of the family's 1533-position model. Lineage: Bacteria; Pseudomonadati; Acidobacteriota. The record is from RNAcentral.